This 552-nucleotide ribosomal RNA is filed under the name Pseudosuccinea columella. RNAcentral describes it as "partial 16S ribosomal RNA". The stretch from base 131 to 271 matches the Rfam family "Archaeal large subunit ribosomal RNA", at positions 1892 to 2081 of the family's 2987-position model. Lineage: Eukaryota; Metazoa; Mollusca; Gastropoda; Lymnaeidae. The record is from RNAcentral.
UCGCCUGUUCAUCAAAAACAUCACCUCUAGCAUCACCAGUAUUAGAGGCACCGCCUGCCCAGUGACACAUGUUUAACGGCCGCGGUACCCUAACCGUGCAAAGGUAGCAUAAUCACUUGUUCCUUAUCGCCUGUUUAUCAAAAACAUAGCCCAAAGAUUUAUUUUAGGUAAAUUCUGCCCAGCGUAAUUUAUUAGCGGCCGCAGUACUUUGACUGUGCUAAGGUAGCAUAAUCAAUUGGCUUUUAAUUGUAGUCUGGAAUGAAAGGACUAAUAGGGGUUAGCUGUCUCUAUACUAUUAUUUUGAAUUUAUUUAUUAAGUGAAAAUACUUAUACAAAGAAAAAAGACGAGAAGACCCUUAGAAUUUUAAUAAAAUAUUUAAUAAUUUUUUUUUGUUGGGGCGACAUUGAAACAAUUAAACUUUCAUUGACAAUCAAGACAUUUAGGUUUGAAAGAGUAAAUUACCUUAGGGAUAACAGCAUAAUUAAUUAUUUAGUUUGUGACCUCGAUGUUGGACUAGGAACUAGAAGAUUAACCGUCUAAAUAGAUGUCGU